This 449-nucleotide ribosomal RNA is filed under the name uncultured bacterium. Its description in RNAcentral is "bacterial SSU rRNA". It matches the Rfam family "Bacterial small subunit ribosomal RNA", at positions 354 to 796 of the family's 1533-position model. The record is from RNAcentral.
GUCGAGAAUUUUUCACAAUGGGCGAAAGCCUGAUGGAGCGACGCCGCGUGGGGGAUGAAGGGCUUCGGCUCGUAAACCCCUGUCAUUCGAGAACAAACCCUGCGAUUGAAUAGAUCGCGGGCUGAUAGUAUCGGAAGAGGAAGGGACGGCUAACUCUGUGCCAGCAGCCGCGGUAAUACAGAGGUCCCAAGCGUUGUUCGGAUUUACUGGGCGUAAAGGGUGCGUAGGCGGCGAGGGAAGUUCGGGGUGAAAUCUCCAGGCUCAACUUGGAAAAUGCCUUGAAGACUCCCUUGCUAGAGGAUCGCAGAGGAGACUGGAAUUCUCGGUGUAGCAGUGAAAUGCGUAGAUAUCGAGAGGAACACCAGUGGCGAAAGCGGGUCUCUAGGCGAUACCUGACGCUGAGGCACGAAAGCCAGGGGAGCAAACGGGAUUAGAAACCCGGGUAGUCC